This 616-nucleotide ribosomal RNA is filed under the name uncultured Piloderma. Its description in RNAcentral is "eukaryotic LSU rRNA". It matches the Rfam family "Eukaryotic large subunit ribosomal RNA", at positions 1 to 614 of the family's 3401-position model. Lineage: Eukaryota; Fungi; Basidiomycota; Agaricomycetes; Atheliales; Atheliaceae. The record is from RNAcentral.
UUGACCUCAAAUCAGGUAGGACUACCCGCUGAACUUAAGCAUAUCAAUAAGCGGAGGAAAAGAAACUAACAAGGAUUCCCCUAGUAACUGCGAGUGAAGCGGGAAAAGCUCAAAUUUAAAAUCUGGCGGUCUUGCGGCCGUCCGAGUUGUAAUCUGGAGAAGCGUUUAUCCGCGUCGGACCGUGUACAAGUCUUCUGGAAGGGAGCGUCGUAGAGGGUGAGAAUCCCGUCUUUGACACGGACAACCGGUGCUUUUGUGAUGCGCUCUCGAAGAGUCGAGUUGUUUGGGAAUGCAGCUCAAAAUGGGUGGUAAAUUCCAUCUAAAGCUAAAUAUUGGCGAGAGACCGAUAGCGAACAAGUACCGUGAGGGAAAGAUGAAAAGCACUUUGGAAAGAGAGUUAAACAGUACGUGAAAUUGUUGAAAGGGAAACGUUUGAAGUCAGUCGCGUCGGCCGAGACUCAACCUUGCUUCUGCUCGGUGCACUUCUCGGUUGACGGGUCAGCAUCAAUUUUGACCGCCGGAUAAAGGUCGGGGGAAUGUGGCAUCCUUCGGGAUGUGUUAUAGACCUCGAUUCGGAUACGGCGAUUGGGAUUGAGGAACUCGGCGCUUUGCGUCC